AGAGUUUGAUCAUGGCUCAGGAUGAACGCUAGCUACAGGUUUAACACAUGCAAGUCGAGGGGCAGCAUGAACUUAGCUUGCUAAGUUUGAUGGCGACCGGCGCACGGGUGAGUAACACGUAUCCAACCUUCCGUUUACUCAGGGAUAGCCUUUCGAAAGAAAGAUUAAUACCUGAUAGUAUGGUGAGAUUGCAUGAUAGCACCAUUAAAGAUUUAUUGGUAAACGAUGGGGAUGCGUUCCAUUAGG
Molecule: ribosomal RNA, 246 nt
Filed under: uncultured bacterium
Lineage: Bacteria
Description: partial 16S ribosomal RNA
Rfam family: Bacterial small subunit ribosomal RNA
Source: RNAcentral